GGUAGCCGGCCUGAGAGGGUGUCCGGCCACACUGGGACUGAGANACGGCCCAGACUCCUACGGGAGGCAGCAGUGGGGAAUAUUGCACAAUGGGCGCAAGCCUGAUGCAGCGACGCCGCGUGRGGGAUGACGGCCUUCGGGUUGUAAACCUCUUUCAAUAGGGAMGAAGCGMAAGUGACGGUACCURYAGAARAAGCACCGGCYAACUACGUGCCAGCAGCCGCGGUAAUACGUAGGGUGCGAGCGUUGUCCGGAAUUAYUGGGCGUAAAGAGCUCGUAGGUGGUUUGUCGCGUUGNCCGUGAAAUUUCACAACUCAAUUGUGAGCGUGCGGGCGAUACGGGCAGACUGGAGUACUGCAGGGGARAUGGGAAUUCCU
This 377-nucleotide ribosomal RNA is filed under the name uncultured bacterium. RNAcentral describes it as "partial 16S ribosomal RNA". It matches the Rfam family "Bacterial small subunit ribosomal RNA", at positions 282 to 671 of the family's 1533-position model. The record is from RNAcentral.